AGCGAACGCUGGCGGAAUGCUUAACACAUGCAAGUCGCACGGUCAGCAAUGGCAGUGGCGGACGGGUGAGUAACGCGUAGGAAUAUGUCCAGAGGUGGGGGACAACCCCGGGAAACUGGGGCUAAUACCGCAUAUGAGCUGAGGCUCAAAGCAGUGAUGCGCCUUUGGAGUAGCCUGCGUCCGAUUAGCUUGUUGGUGGGGUAAAGGCUUACCAAGGCGACGAUCGGUAGCUGUCUGAGAGGACGACCAGCCACACUGGGACUGAGACACGGCCCAGACUCCUACGGGAGGCAGCAGUGGGGAAUAUUGGACAAUGGGCGCAAGCCUGAUCCAGCAAUUCCGCGUGGU
RNAcentral lists this ribosomal RNA (348 nucleotides) under uncultured bacterium. RNAcentral's name for it is "bacterial SSU rRNA". It matches the Rfam family "Bacterial small subunit ribosomal RNA", at positions 29 to 405 of the family's 1533-position model. The record is from RNAcentral.